Molecule: ribosomal RNA, 562 nt
Filed under: uncultured bacterium
Lineage: Bacteria
Description: bacterial SSU rRNA
Rfam family: Bacterial small subunit ribosomal RNA
Source: RNAcentral
CCUACGGGAGGCAGCAGUGGGGAAUAUUGGACAAUGGGCGAAAGCCUGAUCCAGCAAUGCCGCGUGAGUGAAGAAGGCCUUCGGGUUGUAAAGCUCUUUUACCCGGGAAGAUAAUGACUGUACCGGGAGAAUAAGCUCCGGCUAACUCCGUGCCAGCAGCCGCGGUAAUACGGAGGGAGCUAGCGUUGUUCGGAAUUACUGGGCGUAAAGCGUACGUAGGCGGCUUGGUAAGUCAGAGGUGAAAGCCCACGACUCAAUCGUGGAACUGCCUUUGAGACUGCUUCGCUUGAAGAUGGGAGAGGUUAGUGGAAUUCCGAGUGUAGAGGUGAAAUUCGUAGAUAUUCGGAAGAACACCAGUGGCGAAGGCGGCUAACUGGACCAUUCUUGACGCUGAGGUACGAAAGCGUGGGGAGCAAACAGGAUUAGAUACCCUGGUAGUCCACGCCGUAAACGAUGAUAACUAGCUGUCGGGGCUCUUGGAGCUUCGGUGGCGCAGCUAACGCAUUAAGUUAUCCGCCUGGGGAGUACGGCCGCAAGGUUAAAACUACAAAGGAAUUGACGG